CACACACACACUCUUCUUACUCCUUUAACUCUCACACUCACACACACUCUUCUUACUCCUUUAACUCUCACACACACACUCUUCUUACUCCUUUAACUCUCACACACACACUCUUCUUACUCCUUUAACUCUCACACACACACACUCUUCUUACUCCUUUAACUCUCACACACACACACACACACUCUUCUUACUCCUUUAACUCUCACACACACACACACACUCUUCUUACUCCUUUAACUCUCACACACACACUCUUCUUACUCCUUUAACUCUCACUCACACCCUCCAGCAAAAAAGGCUCAGUUGGACGACCUGGCUCUGAGGUCACCGUCUAGAUUCCUCGCGGUUGAUUGGCUGGCAUGGCCAGUGAGUGGUUUCCAUGGCGACAUCUGGUGGUAUCCAUGGCGACAUCAGGUGGUAUCCAUGGCGACAUCUGGUGGUAUCCAUGGCGACAUCAGGUGGUAUCCAUGGCGACAUCUGGUGGUAUCCAUGGCGACAUCAGGUGGUAUCCAUGGCGACAUCUGGUGGUAUCCAUGGCGACAUCAGGUGGUAUCCAUGGCGACAUCUGGUGGUAUCCAUGGCGACAUCAGGUGGUAUCCAUGGCGACAUCUGGUGGUAUCCAUGGCGACAUCAGGUGGUAUCCAUGGUGACAUCCUCCGGUGUCUCGACUCCACAGAAGUCCAUGAUCACAUUAUCAGACGUCUCUUCCCACGGGGUUACAGCCAAUCAGAAGGCAUUAUCAGACGUCUCUUCCCACAGGGUUACAGCCAAUCAGAAGGCAUUAUCAGACGUCUCUUCCCACGGGGUUACAGCCAAUCAGAAGGCAUUAUCAGACGUCUCCUCCCACGGGGUUACAGCCAAUCAGAAGGCAUUAUCAGACGUCUC
Molecule: long non-coding RNA, 888 nt
Organism: Clupea harengus (Atlantic herring)
Lineage: Eukaryota; Metazoa; Chordata; Actinopteri; Clupeiformes; Clupeidae
Source: Ensembl